Molecule: ribosomal RNA, 446 nt
Filed under: uncultured bacterium
Lineage: Bacteria
Description: bacterial SSU rRNA
Rfam family: Bacterial small subunit ribosomal RNA
Source: RNAcentral
UCGUCAGCUCGUGUCGUGAGAUGUUGGGUUAAGUCCCGCAACGAGCGCAACCCUUGCUAUUAGUUGCUACGCAAGAGCACUCUAAUAGGACUGCCGUUGACAAAACGGAGGAAGGUGGGGACGACGUCAAAUCAUCAUGCCCCUUAUGACCUGGGCUACACACGUACUACAAUGACCAUCAACAGAGGGAAGCAAAACAGCGAUGUGGAGCAAACCCCUAAAAAUGGUCUCAGUUCAGAUUGCAGGCUGCAACCCGCCUGCAUGAAGUCGGAAUUGCUAGUAAUCGCGGAUCAGCAUGCCGCGGUGAAUACGUUCCCGGGCCUUGUACACACCGCCCGUCACACCAUGGGAGCCGGUAAUACCCGAAGUCAGUAGCCCAACCGCAAGGAAGGCGCUGCCGAAGGUAGGAUUGGCGACUGGGGUGAAGUCGUAACAAGGUAGCCGUA